This 460-nucleotide ribosomal RNA is filed under the name uncultured bacterium. RNAcentral's name for it is "partial 16S ribosomal RNA". It matches the Rfam family "Bacterial small subunit ribosomal RNA", at positions 338 to 795 of the family's 1533-position model. The record is from RNAcentral.
CCUACGGGUGGCAGCAGUGAGGAAUAUUGGUCAAUGGACGCAAGUCUGAACCAGCCAUGCCGCGUGCAGGAAGAUGGCUCUAUGAGUUGUAAACUGCUUUUGUACGAGGGUAAACUCAGAUACGCGUAUCUGUCUGAAAGUACCGUACGAAUAAGGAUCGGCUAACUCCGUGCCAGCAGCCGCGGUAAUACGGAGGAUUCAAGCGUUAUCCGGAUUUAUUGGGUUUAAGGGGUGCGUAGGCGAUCGGUUAAGUUAGAGGUGAAAGCCCGCGGCUAAAGGUCGGAAUUGCCUCUGAUACUGUUCGGCUAGAGAGUAGAUGCGGUAGGCGGAAUGUAUGGUGCAGCGGUGAAAUGCUUAGAGAUCAUACAGAACACCGAUUGCGAAGGCAGCUUACCAAGCUACGUCUGACGUUGAGGCACGAAAGCGUGGGGAGCAAACAGGAUUAGAUACCCGGGUAGUC